Molecule: non-coding RNA, 89 nt
Organism: Armillaria borealis
Lineage: Eukaryota; Fungi; Basidiomycota; Agaricomycetes; Agaricales; Physalacriaceae
Source: the annotation of a GenBank genome assembly
GCCCUUGUUGUCUAAUGGUUAUGACGUCAGACUUCUACGGGACUUGUACUCAAAUCUGGAGGCUGCGGGUUCGAGUCCCGCCAGGGGUU